Molecule: long non-coding RNA, 417 nt
Organism: Catharus ustulatus (Swainson's thrush)
Lineage: Eukaryota; Metazoa; Chordata; Aves; Passeriformes; Turdidae
Exons: 3
Source: RefSeq, a predicted model, not a curated record
UGGACUUGACCAGGCAAAUAAGGACUAAUGCUCAUUGAACAUAUGGCUGUACUGCUUAAUGUGAAGGUCCUCCUCUGAUAAGAAGUAAUUUUGAGCAGCUGGGUAGACUUGGACUUGGUACAUCCUCCAGGGAAAGAAGAGUGAAAAUUCAUGACAAGACUGAAAUUGCAAUUAACUGGAUGAUUGGUUCCCACAAAGAAUGGAGAUAAAAGAGGAAUAUCAGGCCAGUUACCUGGUGUUGAGGCAGCUAAGGAAGCAACCUACCCAAAGGAGAACCUGGCCCACAUGGGACCAUGAAAGGACAGGAGGCCACCAAGUGUGGCUGAACUCUGCUCUUGUGCUGCCAGGGGAGGCAAAAAGGUUGGAAGGUGCCCCAUGGACCCCUUUGGAGAAUUCACUCAAGGAAGAGGGAGUUCU